This 1065-nucleotide long non-coding RNA is filed under the name Homo sapiens (human). RNAcentral describes it as "HSALNT0026398". Lineage: Eukaryota; Metazoa; Chordata; Mammalia; Primates; Hominidae. The record is from RNAcentral.
GUGCCGUGGGGUCUGGCCCUCAGCAAUUUAAACAGAGCAGCUUUCCAAACUCAGCAGAGCACACAUCAGAGUGUGUUUAGUUCAUCUGGGCUGGUGAGUUCCAGUGAUGAAAGCCUGGUGCUAAUGGAGGCGAGGUCACCGGUUCAAUCCUCAUAGGACCCAGUUCACUUACAAGAGAAAAAACACUACUCAAGAACCAGAGACACCUCCUGACCCCAGUCACUGACCACAAGAAGGAUGGGGUGAAAACGAUGGCUGACCCAGGGCAAAACCAUCUGAUAAACAACUCAGACAGCACACCCCCAACCCCCAGCAGGAGAAGCCAGCACCUUCUAGUUUAAGGAUUUUAUAAAACCGCUUUUAUAAAAAUCCCUGCGGACAAGUUCACAGUAGCUGACUCCCCAAGAUGAGACGUGCUGCUUUAGAAGGGGGCUGAAGAGCUAUGCCCAGACUGGAGCACGAGUCUGCUUGCUGGUGUGUUUCUCAGUCCAGUUUGAUUUUUUAAAGGUACCCUCCAUGGGACAGAACUCUGCUUACAAACUUUAAAACUGGAUGAUGCAAAAAUUACCUGCACAGCAGAGGAGGACAACGAACCAUAGUAAGUUUAAGUGAUGGAUUCUUUAAUCUAUCAUUAAUUUGUACAGAUAAGUCAAAGAAAGGUAGUAGCAGAUACGGAGCCCUCGCCGUGUACGCAACGCUUGACAUCCUUUCUCACUGAGUCCCCACAGUAGACCUAGUGCUGCCAUUUUGCAGAAGGGGGCUCAAGAUCUGCAUAUUCAACAAGCUUCCCAAGGGAUUUUGAUGGAUUCAGAACCACCCUCUACAAAUCCCUUCUAACCACAACAAAAUGGAUGGGCUGAGUGUUCAUAUUGCCUCACCUUUCAUCAAAGCACCAUCUGGGAACCAGAACUUGGCAUUUGAGAAAAAUCAGAGAUGACUAAGAAUAAGAACAAUCUCAUCAGGAGAAGAGCCGUUGAUCUCCUGUUCCUCUUCUAGAAGAAUUGAGAACAGAAAGGAUCAUUAAACAUCACCUACUCCAAAUGCAUUCGUUUCCAGAACUCCACA